Molecule: ribosomal RNA, 574 nt
Filed under: uncultured bacterium
Lineage: Bacteria
Description: bacterial SSU rRNA
Rfam family: Bacterial small subunit ribosomal RNA
Source: RNAcentral
UAGUGAGGAAUAUUGCGCAAUGGGGGCAACCCUGACGCAGCGACGCCGCGUGGGUGAGGAAGGCUUUCGGGUCGUAAAACCCUGUCAGAAGGGAAGAAAUGCUUAUGGGUUAAUAUCUUGUAAGCUUGACGGUACCUUCAAAGGAAGCACCGGCUAACUCCGUGCCAGCAGCCGCGGUAAUACGGAGGGUGCAAGCGUUGUUCGGAAUCACUGGGCGUAAAGGGCGCGUAGGCGGCUUGGCAAGUCAGAUGUGAAAGCCCACGGCUUAACCGUGGAAGUGCAUUUGAAGCUGCUUGGCUUGAGUAUCAGAGGGGAAAGUGGAAUUCCCGGUGUAGAGGUGAAAUUCGUAGAUAUCGGGAGGAAUACCGGUGGCGAAGGCGACUUUCUGGCUGAAUACUGACGCUGAGGCGCGAAAGCGUGGGGAGCAAACAGGAUUAGAUACCCUGGUAGUCCACGCCGUAAACGAUGUCAACUAGGUGCAGGGGGUGUUGAUCCCCUCUGUGUCGCAGCUAACGCAUUAAGUUGACCGCCUGGGGAGUACGGUCGCAAGAUUAAAACUCAAAGGAAUUGACGG